RNAcentral lists this long non-coding RNA (946 nucleotides) under Bos taurus (domestic cattle). RNAcentral's name for it is "long non-coding RNA NONBTAT000277". The record is from RNAcentral. Lineage: Eukaryota; Metazoa; Chordata; Mammalia; Artiodactyla; Bovidae.
UCCAAAGUAUAGCAAUAGUCAUAAUUAAAAUAUCUUAAUUCUGUCAUUUCUUUUAUUGUCCAUUGUGUGUGCUUAUUUGAAAAAUAUUUUUAUGGUUUCAAAAAAUUGAUCAAACUAAUGUUCUCUUGAAAUUGCAAAUUAAUUUGAUCCAAUUCAAUUAUCCAAAUCUUCUUUUAAAAUUUUAAGAAAUGAUAAGUAAAAUUUACCAAUUCUCUUGUGUAAAUAAACAGCCACAACUUCUAGAAAAUGACAGGUCAUCAUCAGUUAGUUAGCUUUCUUGUUAACAAUUUUUGGACUACUAAAUUUUGACCUAAGAAUAACUCUUUUAGAAUACAAUAUCCUUUAAUUAGUUGUUUGGUAUAUGUAUGUGAACUCUUCUGUGAUAUCUUUUUAUAUUGAUAGAGCUGUACAUUUUUUUCUUUGCUAUGACUAGGGCAAAAAUUAAUGAUUAUUUACACACUUGAUUUAAUUUUUUAGACUGUUUACAAUCUUAGAUACAGUAUCUGAUUUAAAAAUCACUAUUCCAUACAUGUUUCUGGAUACACAAUUUAGGGAAGGGUUUUUAUGUGAAUUCUUUGUAUCAUUUUAAAGUUCGUGUAUUGAAAGGGAAAACAUAGACUCUGUUUUCAUCACAUAAAUUUAGAUCAGGUGAAAGCUUUUGUAAAAAUACAUAGUACAAUGAGAUUUAUAUUUGUCACUUGAUUAAGUGAACUGAAAACAUAAUAGAAAUGUUAUCUUAGAACCGUUAAAUAAAAAAAAUUCCAGAUGUAUUAGUUUGAUGAGCAAUUUUAUGCUAUCUUCCUUUUUACAUGCCCAGAAAGAGAAAUUAAUCUUAGCUCUAUUGUCAUUCUUAAUUUAGAAAGAAUAUAUAACUCAUAAAAUUUUAGCUUCACAAGCUAACUAUAAAAUCAUAUAUAUAUAUAUUUGUUGUUUUUCAUCAGGAUGC